AGCAGCCGCGGUAAUUCCAGCUCCAAUAGCGUAUAUUAAAGUUGUUGCAGUUAAAAAGCUCGUAGUUGAAUUUCGGGGUCAGUAGGUCGGUCGUGCCACUGGUAUGAACUGGUUUUACUGAUUCCUCCCUCUUGAAGAACUGUAAUGCCAUUAAUUUGGUGUUGCAGGGAAUCAGGACUGUUACUUUGAAAAAUUAGAGUGUUUAAAGCAAGCUAACGCUUGAAUACAUUAGCAUGGAAUAAUGAAAUAGGACGUUCGAUCCUAUUUUGUUGGUUUCUAGGAUUGACGUAAUGAUUAAUAGGGAUAGUUGGGGCAUUAGUAUUCAAUUGUCAGAGGUGAAAUUCUUGGAUUUAUUGAAGACUAACUACUGCGAAAGCAUUUGCCAAGGAUGUUUUCAUUAAUCAAGAACGAAAGUUAGGGGAUCGAAGACGAUCAGAUACCGUCGUAGUCUUAACCAUAAACUAUGACCG
RNAcentral lists this ribosomal RNA (470 nucleotides) under uncultured Glomus. RNAcentral describes it as "SSU rRNA". It matches the Rfam family "Eukaryotic small subunit ribosomal RNA", at positions 569 to 1045 of the family's 1831-position model. The record is from RNAcentral. Lineage: Eukaryota; Fungi; Glomeromycota; Glomeromycetes; Glomerales; Glomeraceae.